RNAcentral lists this ribosomal RNA (253 nucleotides) under uncultured bacterium. Its description in RNAcentral is "partial 16S ribosomal RNA". It matches the Rfam family "Bacterial small subunit ribosomal RNA", at positions 524 to 776 of the family's 1533-position model. The record is from RNAcentral.
UACGUAGGGUGCAAGCGUUGUCCGGAAUUAUUGGGCGUAAAGAGCUCGUAGGCGGUUUGUCGCGUCUGCUGUGAAAACCCGAGGCUCAACCUCGGGCCUGCAGUGGGUACGGGCAGACUAGAGUGCGGUAGGGGAGAAUGGAAUUCCCGGUGUAGCGGUGAAAUGCGCAGAUAUCGGGAGGAACACCGGUGGCGAAGGCGGUUCUCUGGGCCUUACCUGACGCUGAGGAGCGAAAGCGUGGGGAGCGAACAGG